UUCUUAUCAAGAGCAGGUGGAGGGACGAGCCCGACGAAACCCGGCAACCGAUCUACAUAAUUGUAGACACGGUGCUAAUUCUCGCAGCAUUACGCUGACAGAUAAGGA
This is a regulatory RNA element of Bacillus anthracis str. 'Ames Ancestor', 108 nucleotides long. It matches the Rfam family "SAM riboswitch aptamer (S box leader)". Rfam says of the family: The SAM riboswitch is found upstream of a number of genes which code for proteins involved in methionine or cysteine biosynthesis in Gram-positive bacteria. The SAM riboswitch acts at the level of transcription termination control. The record is from Rfam. Lineage: Bacteria; Bacillati; Bacillota; Bacilli; Caryophanales; Bacillaceae.